UACGGAGGGUGCGAGCGUUGUCCGGAAUCAUUGGGCGUAAAGGGCGCGUAGGUGGCCCGGUCAGUUCGUGGUGAAAGCGCGGGGCUCAACUCCGCGUCGGCCAUGAAUACUGCUGGGCUGGAGCACUGUAGAGGCAGGCGGAAUUCCGGGUGUAGCGGUGGAAUGCGUAGAGAUCCGGAAGAACACCGGUGGCGAAGGCGGCCUGCUGGGCAGUAGCUGACACUGAGGCGCGACAGCGUGGGGAGCAAACAGG
This 253-nucleotide ribosomal RNA is filed under the name uncultured bacterium. Its description in RNAcentral is "partial 16S ribosomal RNA". It matches the Rfam family "Bacterial small subunit ribosomal RNA", at positions 524 to 776 of the family's 1533-position model. The record is from RNAcentral.